This 377-nucleotide ribosomal RNA is filed under the name uncultured bacterium. Its description in RNAcentral is "bacterial SSU rRNA". It matches the Rfam family "Bacterial small subunit ribosomal RNA", at positions 523 to 898 of the family's 1533-position model. The record is from RNAcentral.
AUACGUAGGUGGCAAGCGUUGUCCGGAAUUAUUGGGCGUAAAGCGCGCGCGGGCGGCUUCUUAAGUCUGAUGUGAAAUUCUGCAGCUCAACUGCAGGCGGGCAUUGGAAACUGGGGAGCUUGAGUACAGAAGAGGAGAGUAGAAUUCCACGUGUAGCGGUGAAAUGCGUAGAGAUGUGGAGGAAUACCAGUGGCGAAGGCGGCUCUCUGGUCUGUUACUGACGCUGAGGUGCGAAAGCGUGGGGAGCGAACAGGAUUAGAUACCCUGGUAGUCCACGCCGUAAACGAUGAAUGCCAGGUGUUAGGGAGGUCCAACCCCUUAGUGCUGAAGUUAACACAUUAAGCAUUCCGCCUGGGGAAUACGACCGCAAGGUUGAA